AGCGAACGCUGGCGGCAGGCUUAACACAUGCAAGUCGAGCGGGCAUCCUUGUGGUGUCAGCGGCAGACGGGUGGGUAACGCGUGGGAACGUGCCCUUCGGUUCGGAAUAACUCAGGGAAACUUGAGCUAAUACCGGAUACGUGCGAGAGCAGAAAGGUUUAUCUGCCGAAGGAUCGGCCCGCGUCUGAUUAGCUAGUUGGUGAGGUUACGGCUCACCAAGGCGACGAUCAGUAGCUGGUCUGAGAGGAUGAUCAGCCACACUGGGACUGAGACACGGCCCAGACUCCUACGGGAGGCAGCAGGGGGGAAUAUUGGACAAGGGGGGCAACCCUGAUCCAGCCAUGCCGCGUGAGUGAUGACGGCCUUAGGGUUGUAAAGCUCUUUUCUCCGGGACGAUAAUGACGGUACCGGAGGAAUAGGCCCCGGCUAACUUCGUG
Molecule: ribosomal RNA, 437 nt
Filed under: uncultured bacterium
Lineage: Bacteria
Description: partial 16S ribosomal RNA
Rfam family: Bacterial small subunit ribosomal RNA
Source: RNAcentral